Non-coding RNA from Lupinus albus (white lupine), 304 nucleotides. Lineage: Eukaryota; Viridiplantae; Streptophyta; Magnoliopsida; Fabales; Fabaceae. The record is from the annotation of a GenBank genome assembly.
UCCUCUUAAGGCAAUUAAUCAUACGCAUACUCCAAGUAUGGAAGGCUACCACAUGGGUAAUAAUAUCACACGAUUUGCUUGAGGUUUGGAAAGAUAAUAACUCCUUGAUUUGGAAUGCAUAUCUCCAUGGUUCAGAAUAGGUAAGUAAUCAUGCCUUCCUUUAUUGUUGAUCCUAAUAAUAUGACCGUGGCCAAAUUCAUUGUUCCUCCUCAAGGCAAGUUACACGCCUAAGAAAUACACAAAAUCAGAGAAUGAAGAAUGGCACAGCUCUACGAAGAAGAUGAUGAACAGUGACUUUAGUUGC